CUGAAGCCCAGAGUUGCACUAGGCUGGUUGCUCCAUAAACUCAGCUAGACCAUGGUUCUGCUAGCACCAUCAGGUCUCUGGUUUCUGGGGAUUUUCUUAACAGCUACAGGCAACACAGAAGCCACGCUGAUCCAGCCUACCUCUAUACUGGCGCCCCCAGGAAGUGUCGCUCGGCUAUCUUGCACCCUUUCCAGCAACAGCAUUGCAACUUACACCAUCGUCUGGCUCCGGAGCAGACUUCAGGCCUCCCCUAAACCCCUCUUGCACUACAAAGACGAAUCUAGCCAAAAUAAAGCCGCUGGCGUCUCUGAUCGCUUCUCUGCUUCCAAAGAUGCCAACAGCAGCACCUGCUAUCUAACCAUCUCUGGGGUCCAGGCAGAGGACGACGGCCUCUAUUACUGUGUGACAUCAAAAGGAGGAGAGUAACACAGCGCUUCAAUGUACGGGAGCUCCAAGACCAAAACUCCAUCCCAUCGCCUUAGGGAGGAUGUCGGCACAGCUGACGAGGCAGGCAAACUAGCAGAUGCAUCUAGCUUAAGAUCGCAUGAAGAUGCUUCAGCCUGCAGAGUGCAGAUUCUAUUUCAAGAGCUCAGUGAACAAGAACACUCCCAACCACAAACACAUUGUUUCAGUUCCUACUUGGAUUGACUAAUAACACAGUCACUCUGUGAGCAGGGGUGCAUCAUCCAGAGGCGCUGGGACUCAUAGACCCCUUACUUUUUGAGACCUCUUGGAGGCCGGGCCUGGCAACCAAGAGGUCUUCUGCACCUUUAAAAGUUGUGCAGAGGGAAGGGAGAAUUCCACCUUGUGGUUUUCCCCAUUACAGCGUUGCAAGAACACCUGCACUUGGCUGACUUUCUCUUCUCCUAAAGAUACAGGAUCAGUCUCAGGCCCUGAACCUGGCAACCCUAUCAUGACUUCCCCCAAGGAAUCCUGGGCACUGUGGUUUCCUCUGCACAGAGCUACACAUUCCCAGCAACCUCAAGAAGCUACAGUUCAUGUGAUUCUUUGGGGAUAUCACGUGCUUUAAAUGUGCAUUGGGUGUGUCUUAAAUACAUGGUGUGGGUCUGCCCUUAGAACAGUGGCUCUUCACCUUUUUUGGGUUUACAAACCCCUUUGAGAAUCUGAUGAGAACUAUGGAUCCCCAUAAAUAAAUAA
Rhineura floridana is the source of this 1158-nucleotide non-coding RNA. The record is from the annotation of a RefSeq genome assembly. NCBI's taxonomy places the organism in Eukaryota, Metazoa, Chordata, Lepidosauria, Squamata, Rhineuridae.